Molecule: ribosomal RNA, 305 nt
Filed under: uncultured bacterium
Lineage: Bacteria
Description: partial 16S ribosomal RNA
Rfam family: Bacterial small subunit ribosomal RNA
Source: RNAcentral
ACAGCAGUAGCCACGGGAAUACGAAGGGGGCUAGCGUUGUUCGGAUUUACUGGGCGUAAAGCGCACGUAGGCGGAUCGAUCAGUCAGGGGUGAAAUCCCAGGGCUCAACCCUGGAACUGCCUUUGAUACUGUCGAUCUGGAGUAUGGAAGAGGUGAGUGGAAUUCCGAGUGUAGAGGUGAAAUUCGUAGAUAUUCGGAGGAACACCAGAGGCGAAGGCGGCUCACUGGACUGGUAUUGACGCUGAGGUGCGAAAGCGUGGGGAGCAAACAGGAUUAGAUACCCGGGUAGUCCCUGUCUCUUAUAC